GGGGGUGUCUCUUACAGGAGCAGUUUUCCCGGAGGGUAUUGAACAUUCUGUCCAUAAAUUUAAAACUGGGAGGGUUCUGGGAGGCCUGUGUUUUACAGAUGGGGAAACUGAGGCUCAAAAGGAAAGACCGUUUGCCUAAGAUGAGACAGCUGGAGAGGCAGAAAAAUCUGGGUUCUGGUUGGGAUUCGGAUCCCACGGGGGAACAAUUGAGAGGACCAGAUUAACCAUCUGGAGGACAGCCCCUUUGCUGUGUUGCUCCUCAAUAUCUGGGCCAAGUCUCUUCAUCUCCUUCUGCCUCCGUUUCCUCAUCUGUAUAAUCCUAAAUUUGCACUGAAUAACAUCUAAAAUCUCUUCCAGUUUUAAGUCUGCGAAGAAUACUUUAGAAGCAGAUUCCCAGAGCUCUUGGUCUAAGACUGGAAAUAAGCAAUUACCUAAAUAACUAAAGGAAGUUGAGUAUGAUAAGUUCCACAUCCAGCUGUUGAGAAACAUGACCAGAUGUUUAGAGGCAAAAGAAAGAAGAGCAGUGGGCAGCCCAUGGGCAAAUUCGUGCUGAUCCCAGAUAGAAUAAAAGAUCUCUGAGAAGA
Antechinus flavipes (yellow-footed antechinus) is the source of this 584-nucleotide long non-coding RNA. RefSeq lists it as uncharacterized. The transcript has 2 exons. NCBI's taxonomy places the organism in Eukaryota, Metazoa, Chordata, Mammalia, Dasyuromorphia, Dasyuridae. The record is from RefSeq and is a predicted model, not a curated record.